AGACCGAUAGCGAACAAGUAGAGUGAUCGAAAGGUUAAAAGCACCUUGAAAAGGGAGUUAAACAGCACGUGAAAUUGUUGAAAGGGAAGCGCUUGCGGCCAGACUCGGGGGCGGGGUUCAGCGGGCGCUCGUCGCCCGUGCACUCCCCGUCUCCCGGGCCAGCAUCAGUUUCGACGGCCGGUCAAAGGCCCCCGGAAUGUGUCGUCUCUCGGGACGUCUUAUAGCCGGGGGUGCAAUGCGGCCCGUCGGGACUGAGGAACGCGCUCCGGCUCGGAUGCUGGCGUAAUGGCCGUAAGCGGCCCGUCUUGAAACACGGACCAAG
This 322-nucleotide ribosomal RNA is filed under the name Nannizzia nana. Its description in RNAcentral is "LSU rRNA". It matches the Rfam family "Eukaryotic large subunit ribosomal RNA", at positions 331 to 670 of the family's 3401-position model. Lineage: Eukaryota; Fungi; Ascomycota; Eurotiomycetes; Onygenales; Arthrodermataceae. The record is from RNAcentral.